GAUGGGAGCUUGCUCCCAGGCGUCGAGCGGCGGACGGGUGAGUAACGCGUAGGAAUCUACCCAGUAGUGGGGGAUAGCCCGGGGAAACUCGGAUUAAUACCGCAUACGCCCUACGGGGGAAAGGCCGGGAUCUUCGGACCGGUCGCUAUUGGAUGAGCCUGCGUUGGAUUAGCUAGUUGGUAGGGUAAAGGCCUACCAAGGCGACGAUCCAUAGCUGGUCUGAGAGGAUGAUCAGCCACACUGGAACUGAGACACGGUCCAGACUCCUACGGGAGGCAGCAGUGGGGAAUAUUGGACAAUGGGCGCAAGCCUGAUCCAGCCAUGCCGCGUGUGUGAAGAAGGCUCUAGGGUUGUAAAGCACUUUCAGUAGGGAGGAAGGCCAGAGUGUUAAUAGCGCUUUGGAUUGACGUUACCUACAGAAGCAGCACCGGCUAACUCCGUGCCAGCAGCCGCGGUAAUACGGA
This 464-nucleotide ribosomal RNA is filed under the name uncultured Gammaproteobacteria bacterium. RNAcentral's name for it is "bacterial SSU rRNA". It matches the Rfam family "Bacterial small subunit ribosomal RNA", at positions 71 to 529 of the family's 1533-position model. Lineage: Bacteria; Pseudomonadati; Pseudomonadota; Gammaproteobacteria. The record is from RNAcentral.